GACGAACGCUGGCGGCGUGCUUAACACAUGCAAGUCGAACGGAAAGGCCCUGCUUUUGUGGGGUGCUCGAGUGGCGAACGGGUGAGUAACACGUGAGUAACCUGCCCUUGACUUUGGGAUAACUUCAGGAAACUGGGGCUAAUACCGGAUAGGAGCUCCUGCUGCAUGGUGGGGGUUGGAAAGUUUCGGCGGUUGGGGAUGGACUCGCGGCUUAUCAGCUUGUUGGUGGGGUAGUGGCUUACCAAGGCUUUGACGGGUAGCCGGCCUGAGAGGGUGACCGGCCACAUUGGGACUGAGAUACGGCCCAGACUCCUACGGGAGGCAGCAGUGGGGAAUAUUGCACAAUGGGCGGAAGCCUGAUGCAGCAACGCCGCGUGCGGGAUGACGGCCUUCGGGGUGUAAACCGCUUUCGCCUGUGACGAAGCGGGAGUGACGGUAAUGGGUAAAGAAGCACCGGCUAACUACGUG
RNAcentral lists this ribosomal RNA (468 nucleotides) under uncultured bacterium. Its description in RNAcentral is "partial 16S ribosomal RNA". It matches the Rfam family "Bacterial small subunit ribosomal RNA", at positions 28 to 507 of the family's 1533-position model. The record is from RNAcentral.